UACAGAGGUCUCGAGCGUUGUUCGGAUUCAUUGGGCGUAAAGGGUGCGUAGGUGGCGCUGUAAGUCAGGUGUGAAAUUUCGGAGCUUAACUCCGAAACUGCAUUUGAUACUGCGGUGCUUGAGGACUGGAAAGGAGACUGGAAUUUACGGUGUAGCAGUGAAAUGCGUAGAUAUCGGGAAGAACACCCGUGGCGAAGGCGGCUCUCUGGGACGGUACUGACGCUAAGGCGCGAAAGCGUGGGGAGCGAACAGG
RNAcentral lists this ribosomal RNA (253 nucleotides) under uncultured bacterium. RNAcentral describes it as "partial 16S ribosomal RNA". It matches the Rfam family "Bacterial small subunit ribosomal RNA", at positions 524 to 776 of the family's 1533-position model. The record is from RNAcentral.